GUAGGUGGCAAGCGUUGUCCGGAAUUAUUGGGCGUAAAGCGCGCGCAGGCGGUUCUUUAAGUCUGAUGUGAAAGCCCACGGCUCAACCGUGGAGGGUCAUUGGAAACUGGAGAACUUGAGUACAGAAGAGGAAAGCGGAAUUCCACGUGUAGCGGUGAAAUGCGUAGAGAUGUGGAGGAACACCAGUGGCGAAGGCGGCUUUCUGGUCUGUAACUGACGCUGAGGCGCGAAAGUGUGGGGAGCAAACAGGAUUAGAUACCCUGGUAGUCCACGCCGUAAACGAUGAGUGCUAAGUGUUAGGGGGGUUUCCGCCCCCCUUAGUGCUGCAGCUAACGCAUUAAGCACUCCGCCUGGGAGUACGGCCGCAAGGCUG
RNAcentral lists this ribosomal RNA (373 nucleotides) under uncultured organism. Its description in RNAcentral is "partial 16S ribosomal RNA". It matches the Rfam family "Bacterial small subunit ribosomal RNA", at positions 527 to 896 of the family's 1533-position model. The record is from RNAcentral.